GACGAACGCUGGCGGCGUGCUUAACACAUGCAAGUCGAACGGAAAGGCCCUUCGGGGUGCUCGAGUGGCGAACGGGUGAGUAACACGUGGGUGAUCUGCCCUGCACUUUGGGAUAAGCCUGGGAAACUGGGUCUAAUACCGAAUAUGAUCGCUGGCUUCAUGGCUGGUGGUGGAAAGCUUUUGCGGUGUGGGAUGGGCCCGCGGCCUAUCAGCUUGUUGGUGGGGUAAUGGCCUACCAAGGCGACGACGGGUAGCCGGCCUGAGAGGGUGUCCGGCCACACUGGGACUGAGAGACGGCCCAGACUCCUACGGGAGGCAGCAGUGGGGAAUAUUGCACAAUGGGCGCAAGCCUGAUGCAACGACGCCGCGUGAGGGAUGACGGCCUUCGGGUUGUAAACCUCUUUCGCCAGGGACGAAGCGUAAGUGACGGUACCUGGAGAAGAAGCACCGGCCAACUACGUGCCAGCAGCCGCCGUAAAAC
RNAcentral lists this ribosomal RNA (481 nucleotides) under uncultured bacterium. RNAcentral describes it as "bacterial SSU rRNA". It matches the Rfam family "Bacterial small subunit ribosomal RNA", at positions 28 to 526 of the family's 1533-position model. The record is from RNAcentral.